Long non-coding RNA from Octopus sinensis (East Asian common octopus), 151 nucleotides. RefSeq lists it as uncharacterized. NCBI's taxonomy places the organism in Eukaryota, Metazoa, Mollusca, Cephalopoda, Octopoda, Octopodidae. The transcript has 2 exons. The record is from RefSeq and is a predicted model, not a curated record.
UAAUAAUAAUAAUAAUAAUAAUAAUAAUAAUAAUAAUAGAAGAAAGAAAAGUCGAAAAAUAUAACAAGUUAGCUUGGAAGGUUAAACAGUUGUGGUCGCUGAAAAAGGUGGUAGUAGUACCAAUAAUUGUCGGAGUCCUGGGAACAGUGAG